RNAcentral lists this long non-coding RNA (426 nucleotides) under Homo sapiens (human). RNAcentral describes it as "CYP1B1 antisense RNA 1". The record is from RNAcentral. Lineage: Eukaryota; Metazoa; Chordata; Mammalia; Primates; Hominidae.
GAACCCGGGAGGUGGAGCUUGCAGUGAGCCGAGAUCGCGCCACUGCACUGCAGCCUGGGCGACAGAGUGAGACUCUGUCUCAAAAAAGAAAAAAAAAAAAGAUAAAAUUACCAGAAAAUAUUAAACAGGCAGCACUGAGAAGUGAAGGAAUAUUUGGGAGGAUCAGAAGCUUGGUCCUGAUUUUGCCAUCAACAGGAACUUGAUGACUUCAAGGGAGUCCCCAAACCCUGGGUUUCUGUUUUCUCAACUCUAACAUGAGGGGCUAGAUGCAUCUGGUUUAGUUAGUCUCCAUGAUGGUUUAGUUCGUCUCCAUGAUCCUGUGAAUUUCAGAUGUUGAAAAUCUUCGGAAAAGCCCUGAAAGAUGAACAGUGGUCUCAAAUAGUCAAGACCCCCUGCUGGGAGGAGCUUCUAUCCUGCUCUGUGGAA